GCCCGCCUAGCUCAAUCGGAUAGAGCGUCAGACUUUUACGGAAGGUCAUCUGAAGGCUGCGAGUUCGACCCUCGCGGUGGGCU
Molecule: non-coding RNA, 83 nt
Organism: Coprinopsis marcescibilis
Lineage: Eukaryota; Fungi; Basidiomycota; Agaricomycetes; Agaricales; Psathyrellaceae
Source: the annotation of a GenBank genome assembly